UUUAUGCCUCCUAAAGAGCCGUUGAAGACUACGACGUUGAUAGGUUGGAUGUGGAAGCAUAGCGAUAUGUGAAGCUGACCAAUACUAAUUGCUCGUGAGGCUUGACUAUACAACACCCAAACAGUUG
This 127-nucleotide ribosomal RNA is filed under the name Acinetobacter sp. Swhac1. Its description in RNAcentral is "partial 23S ribosomal RNA". The stretch from base 1 to 109 matches the Rfam family "Bacterial large subunit ribosomal RNA", at positions 2820 to 2925 of the family's 2925-position model. RNAcentral also lists the same sequence under 1 other name. The record is from RNAcentral. Lineage: Bacteria; Pseudomonadati; Pseudomonadota; Gammaproteobacteria; Moraxellales; Moraxellaceae.